Molecule: transfer RNA, 94 nt
Filed under: Lepisosteus oculatus (spotted gar)
Lineage: Eukaryota; Metazoa; Chordata; Actinopteri; Semionotiformes; Lepisosteidae
Rfam family: tRNA
About the family: Transfer RNA (tRNA) molecules are approximately 80 nucleotides in length. Their secondary structure includes four short double-helical elements and three loops (D, anti-codon, and T loops). Further hydrogen bonds mediate the characteristic L-shaped molecular structure. tRNAs have two regions of fundamental functional importance: the anti-codon, which is responsible for specific mRNA codon recognition, and the 3' end, to which the tRNAs corresponding amino acid is attached (by aminoacyl-tRNA synthetases). tRNAs cope with the degeneracy of the genetic code in two manners: having more than one tRNA (with a specific anti-codon) for a particular amino acid; and 'wobble' base-pairing, i.e. permitting non-standard base-pairing at the 3rd anti-codon position.
Source: Rfam by way of RNAcentral
GCUCCAGUGGCACAACUGGUCAGCGUAUGGUACUUAUACGGCAGUACAGAGUAGAGCUAUGCUGAGGUUGUGAGUUCAAUCCUCAUCUUGAGCA